UAUCAGAUAAACCACAAAUUAACCACACUGAAUAAGUGUAACCAACCAAAAAGGAAAAAAAAAUGGUGAGUUGGUUUAGUACAAGGUAGCCCUGCUGCCCUAAGUACAUCAGAUAUGGAGAUGAAUUAAAGUUUAUCCUGAUUUAUUUGAUCAGGGCAGAAUAAGGGCUUCCUGAGUUAAAGGUGAUAUAUGUAGAAACCCCCAGUAAUUAUAUCAUGAUCAAAACAAAUACAAGGAUAGAAUACAUGUGCCUAAGUUAUCAGAAUAAGCUUUAUCAUUCUAGAACAAAAGCACUAGAUGAGCCGGUGAAAUGGCGAACAGAACCCAGAAGGCUCUUUGCAGCACCAAAAUGUCUUAUUC
This 360-nucleotide unclassified non-coding RNA is filed under the name Hevea brasiliensis (rubber tree). The record is from RNAcentral. Lineage: Eukaryota; Viridiplantae; Streptophyta; Magnoliopsida; Malpighiales; Euphorbiaceae.